This 30-nucleotide non-coding RNA is filed under the name Rattus norvegicus (Norway rat). The record is from RNAcentral. Lineage: Eukaryota; Metazoa; Chordata; Mammalia; Rodentia; Muridae.
UGGUUUACCCAGAGAAUCAAUUAUGGGCUA